RNAcentral lists this ribosomal RNA (853 nucleotides) under uncultured bacterium. RNAcentral's name for it is "bacterial SSU rRNA". It matches the Rfam family "Bacterial small subunit ribosomal RNA", at positions 16 to 890 of the family's 1533-position model. The record is from RNAcentral.
AUCCUGGCUCAGGAUUCCCGCUGGCGGCGUGCCUAACACAUGCAAGUCGAACGGUCGCUGAAAGGUGACAGUGGCGCACGGGUGAGGAACACGUAGCUGAUCUGCCUUUGAGUGCGGGAUAACGUCCCGAAAGGGAUGCUAAGACCGCAUAAGCUCCCGCCUUCUAGAGAGGUGAGAGAAAAGAGGCAACUCGCUCAAAGAGGAGGCUGCGACCCAUCAGGUAGUUGGUGCGGUAACGGCGCACCAAGCCGACGACGGGUAGGGGACCUGAGAGGGUGACCCCCCACACUGGGACUGAGACACGGCCCAGACUCCUACGGGAGGCAGCAGUGAGGAAUAUUGCCCAAUGGAGGAAACUCUGAGGCAGCGACGCCGCGUGGGUGAAGAAGGCCUUCGGGUCGUAAAGCCCUUUUCUGCGUGACGAGACAAGGACGGUAGCGCAGGAAAAAGUCUCGGCUAACUACGUGCCAGCAGCCGCGGUAAAACGUAGGAGGCAAGCGUUAUCCGGAGUUACUGGGCGUAAAGCGUGCGUAGGCGGGUCGGUAAGUGGGUGGUGAAAGCGCCGGGCUAAACCGGGCGAGGACCAUUCAGACUGCCGGUCUAGAGGCGGAUAGAGGAGCGUGGAAUUCCGGGUGUAGCGGUGAAAUGUGUAGAGAUCCGGAGGAACACCAGUGGUGCAAACGGCGCUCUGGGUCCGUACUGACGCUGAUGCACGAAAGCGUGGGGAGCGAACGGGAUUAGAGACCCCGGUAGUCCACGCCGUAAACGAUGUCAACUGGGUGUCCACACGGCUACGGUCGUGGGGGUGCCGAANCCAACGCGCUAAGUUGACCGCCUGGGGAGUACGGUCGCA